RNAcentral lists this ribosomal RNA (863 nucleotides) under uncultured bacterium. RNAcentral's name for it is "SSU rRNA". It matches the Rfam family "Bacterial small subunit ribosomal RNA", at positions 524 to 1381 of the family's 1533-position model. The record is from RNAcentral.
UACGGGGGGGGCGAGCGUUGUUCGGAAUUACUGGGCGUAAAGGGCGCGUAGGCGGUUUCGGAAGUCAUGGGUGAAAGUCCUCGGCUCAACCGAGGGAUUGCCUGUGAAACCACGGGACUGAAGUGCUGGAGAGGGAAGCGGAAUUCCCAGUGUAGCGGUGAAAUGCGUAGAUAUUGGGAGGAACACCUGUGGCGAAGGCGGCUUCCUGGACAGACACUGACGCUGAGGCGCGAAAGCCAGGGGAGCGAACGGGAUUAGAUACCCCGGUAGUCCUGGCUGUAAACGAUGAACACUUGGUGUGGGGGGUGAAGAAAGUCCCUCUGUGCCGGAGAGAACUCAUUAAGUGUUCCGCCUGGGGAGUACGGCCGCAAGGCUGAAACUCAAAGGAAUUGACGGGGGCCCGCACAAGCGGUGGAGCAUGUGGUUUAAUUCGACGCAACGCGAAGAACCUUACCGGGGUUUGAACUGUACUUGAACGACCUAGAGAUGGGGAGGUUCCUUUCGGGGACGGGUACAGAGGUGCUGCAUGGCUGUCGUCAGCUCGUGUCGUGAGAUGUUGGGUUAAGUCCCGCAACGAGCGCAACCCUUGUCUGUAGUUGCCAUCAGGUGAAGCUGGGCACUCUACGGAGACUGUCGGCGAGAAGCCGGAGGAAGGUGGGGAUGACGUCAAGUCCUCAUGGCCUUUAUGUCCCGGGCUACACACGUGCUACAAUGGGCGGUACAGAGGGCAGCGAACCUGUGAAGGCAAGCGAAUCCCAGAAAACCGCUCUCAGUUCGGAUUGCAGUCUGCAACUCGACUGCAUGAAGUUGGAAUCGCUAGUAAUCGCGGAUCAGAACGCCGCGGUGAAUACGUUCCCGGGCCU